Molecule: ribosomal RNA, 465 nt
Filed under: uncultured bacterium
Lineage: Bacteria
Description: partial 16S ribosomal RNA
Rfam family: Bacterial small subunit ribosomal RNA
Source: RNAcentral
CCUACGGGCGGCAGCAGUGGGGAAUAUUGCGCAAUGGGCGAAAGCCUGCCGCAGCGACGCCGCGUGAGGGAUGAAGGUCUUCGGAUCGUAAAGCUCUGUCGGUAGUGAAGAACGAUAGAGGUAGUAACUGGCCUUUAUUUGACGGUAAUUACUUAGAAAGUCACGGCUAACUACGUGCCAGCAGCCGCGGUAAUACGUAGGUGGCAAGCGUUGUCCGGAUUUAUUGGGCGUAAAGCGAGUGCAGGCGGUUCAAUAAGUCUGAUGUGAAAGCCUUGGGCUCAACUGGAGAAUUGCAUCAGAAACUGUUGAACUGGAGUGCAGAAGAGGAGAGUGGAAUUCCAGGUGUAGCGGUGGAAUGCGUAGAUAUAUGGAAGAACACCAGUGGCGAAGGCGACUCUCUGGUCUGCAACUGACGCUGAGGCGCGAAAGCAUGGGUAGCGAACAGGAUUAGAUACCCGUGUAGUC